GCUUCUUCUCCAGCCGUUUGACGUACGCCGCCAGCUCCAACGCCUCCUCGUAGUAGCCGUUUCUGACGCAAGUGUCCAUGAGCUGAGGGAUCUCCAGGAUCUCCAGAAUCUCGGUGUGGCGGUUGAGAGUCAGGCUGUUCAUCCUGCGGCUGGCACCGAUCUCCUCCGCCUCCUUCAUGAAGGUCCUGGACAACAAGGGGACACCUCAGACUCAGGAACCCAAACCCGCUCAUUGGUUCCGGACUCGCAGCUUUGGUCUCACCGACCUGCACUUCUCUCCGAAGCGGGGCAGCUUGUCCAGCAGCCGGGACACGCUGCUCUCCACCCGCCCGAAGUCCCGGUAGAUGUGCUCGGUGCAGUCCGCGGUUCGGAUGAAGGUCUGGUAGUUGGAGAAGGCUAGCUCCCGGGUCUGCUGCAGGAUGUGGGCCCGCUCCUCCGCCAGCCGCUCCGGUUCCCGGCUCAGCUUGUCCACCCCGAAGGAGCUGAGCUCGGACAGGUAGCCGGGCAGGUCCGGCUGCUCCCUCCAGUUGUCCGGGAAACUGGCCCUAAACACGGACACCAGGAUGCUCUCGUCCUCCACGUCCACCGCCGCCAUGUUGGUGCUGCUUCUGGCCCGGUUUGAACCGAACCGACCGAACCACUUGUUUACUUUGGUGACAGAAUAAGAAGUGACGUUUCCUUCCUUGUGGUUUAAAGGAUGUGAUUUCUGAACUACCGCCGCCUAGUGGACAGGGGCGGAGCAGCAUGAUUAUCACACCUGUGCAGGUAAAUGUUUAACAGGUCAGUUACCACCUGGGUUUAGUCUGGUUUAAUGGAUGGAACUCAUUCAUAAGACUUUGGACUCAGUCAUGUUGAUUGAUGAAACCCAAUUAUUUACUCUUAAUGUGACUCUGGCCCAGUUUGACCUGACCACUGGUUUGAUAUUUAGGAUCCAAACCCAGAUGUCCUGGAACUGCAGGGAUGAAGAUGUGAUAAAAACUGCAAGAGGCCAAACAAACACGGAACCGUUUUAAUCGUAGAACUUUAUAUUUGUAGUUCUGAGAACAUGAAGACAACAGAACAGGAAGUAGAAACAAUAAAUAAAAGGACACUUUAGCCAUGGUGACAAAGUGCUGCAGAACAGUGAGAACAUUAAAGAGCUGCUUCUUU
Molecule: non-coding RNA, 1149 nt
Organism: Nothobranchius furzeri (turquoise killifish)
Lineage: Eukaryota; Metazoa; Chordata; Actinopteri; Cyprinodontiformes; Nothobranchiidae
Source: RefSeq, a predicted model, not a curated record